UACGAAGGGGGCUAGCGUUGCUCGGAAUCACUGGGCGUAAAGGGUGCGUAGGCGGGUCUUUAAGUCAGGGGUGAAAUCCUGGAGCUCAACUCCAGAACUGCCUUUGAUACUGAGGAUCUUGAGUUCGGGAGAGGUGAGUGGAACUGCGAGUGUAGAGGUGAAAUUCGUAGAUAUUCGCAAGAACACCAGUGGCGAAGGCGGCUCACUGGCCCGAUACUGACGCUGAGGCACGAAAGCGUGGGG
Molecule: ribosomal RNA, 243 nt
Filed under: uncultured bacterium
Lineage: Bacteria
Description: partial 16S ribosomal RNA
Rfam family: Bacterial small subunit ribosomal RNA
Source: RNAcentral